This 497-nucleotide ribosomal RNA is filed under the name uncultured bacterium. RNAcentral's name for it is "partial 16S ribosomal RNA". It matches the Rfam family "Bacterial small subunit ribosomal RNA", at positions 28 to 507 of the family's 1533-position model. The record is from RNAcentral.
GAUGAACGCUGGCGGCGUGCCUAAUACAUGCAAGUCGAGCGAACAGACGAGGAGCUUGCUCCUCUGACGUUAGCGGCGGACGGGUGAGUAACACGUGGAUAACCUACCUAUAAGACUGGGAUAACUUCGGGAAACCGGAGCUAAUACCGGAUAAUAUAUUGAACCGCAUGGUUCAAUAGUGAAAGACGGUUUUGCUGUCACUUAUAGAUGGAUCCGCGCCGCAUUAGCUAGUUGGUAAGGUAACGGCUUACCAAGGCAACGAUGCGUAGCCGACCUGAGAGGGGGAUCGCCCACACUGGAACUGAGACGCGGUCCAGGCUCCUACGGGAGGCAGCAGUAGGGAAUCUUCCGCAAUGGGCGAAAGCCUGACGGAGCAACGCCGCGUGAGUGAUGAAGGUCUUCGGAUCGUAAAACUCUGUUAUUAGGGAAGAACAAAUGUGUAAGUAACUAUGCACGUCUUGACGGUACCUAAUCAGAAAGCCACGGCUAACUACGUG